RNAcentral lists this long non-coding RNA (4794 nucleotides) under Brassica napus (rape). RNAcentral's name for it is "long non-coding RNA (BNAP_LNC008042)". Lineage: Eukaryota; Viridiplantae; Streptophyta; Magnoliopsida; Brassicales; Brassicaceae. The record is from RNAcentral.
CCCCUGUGUUUUCAAGUUGUUUACAAGUUUCUGCCAUUGCCUUUUUCCCUUGAAAAAUAAUUUUCUUCCUUAUUAAUUCGACCAAUCAGAAUUAAUUGCGCUUUUAUGACAUAUCCACAGCAAGAACAAUUUAAACCCAAACAAAUUAGACCCAGUUUCGAGUAAGCUCAUGUGUUUUUAAAGCCAAUAAAAAUGGAUGUUCAACCCAUCCAAAGCAUCUUGAUAAUCAAUAACCCUGAAGACAAAUAAAGGAUGGUAAGUAUAAUAACAAAAUUAACCGUUAAACAACAUACUAAUAUAUUCUUUCAUACAAAAUUUUAAAAAUAAAAAGAUAAUUUAAAAUAAUUUUUUUUUAAAAAGUAAAUAGAUUCUCGAAUACAAACCUUCAGAGUUUUGAUAUUAUUUAAGUCUAUCGAUAGUGGAACAUCAUUUGAAUGUUUUUUCCAUUGCUUUUCUCAAUCGAUUUCUCAAGGCCGGAUUUUCAAUGCUUCAAUUCUUAUUCGUUCACUUAGAAUCGUUAUAAUCUCGUAGGAUUUCACAUGCAAAACAAAAGAGAGAAAAAUAGAUCUCGAUAGUUAGUUCUAAAAAAAAUAAGAUUUAAAGGUUAACUAUUAAUCAAAAAGGAAGACAUAAUAUUAUAUCUACCAUUUUGUUGUCUUUUGAAAAUUCUUAUGACUUUGUUGUAUAGAUCGGAAAGGUGAAGUCAAUAACUGAUGAGUCUCGUAUUUGUUGGUUUUUAUCAUUUGUUUAUAGUCAUUUUAGUGUCCAAAAAGUGGAUUUAGGGGUCAUUAGGUGUUGCAUAUGUAUAUUUUGCAUGUAAAUAGGCUUGGAUGCACAAUUAGAAGUAUUGGGGAAAAAAUGAGGUUUAAUAUGCACAUUCAGAAGUUUCGGGGCCAAAGUAGAAGUUCACAAAACCACAGUGAUCAAACGUGCAAAACCAUAGAAGAUGGGUCUUGGAGCAACGAGGAAGACGAAGUGUUCGAUGGGUGUCUUCCAGCUUGCUCGUUCUGACGUCCACGGUCCCGAGCCUCGAUCCCCGAACCGACCAGCACGAAUCGAGGGCUUGAGACGAACAGACACUCGCUGUAUGAAGAACAGCUCUCUCGAUUCCACCUUCUCGGCUCGUGCGACGACUUCAACGGAGGAGACAGCUAAUCCCAGAGCUCCUGUGAACGCGGCUGACGACGGCGAUGCAGCAACAAUCUCCGGUGGUUCCGACGAGCCGCAGCAGCCGCCAUUGAUGAAGCUCGAACUCGAGCUUGAAGAAGAUGAAGCAAACGCGUUUUGGUUCAAACACUGCGUCUCAAAACGCAGUCGCGGAAAAUGGUGUUUUUCGUUUUAUCUUUGGCAUUUGAUUUUUUUUUUUUUUUUUUAGCUCAACAACAACUUUCAUUAUCCAAAUUGUGAUUACAAACAUUUUAACCUCAUAGAGAUUUAAACUUCACAUACAAUACCAAGAUCUAGUACCACCUAAAAACACUUAGAUGGAUCCUACGCUACCUAAUCUCGAAAGACAUUGUAUUUUUCACCACGAUGAGAACAAAUUCACCUCACGACUCGAGAUAAACCGUCUGUUAAACCACCUAAUUCUACCACUAAAACAAGAUAACAAAGCCAUUCAUAAGCCGUUAAGAGAUCCUCAUAGUCAAGAAAAACAAAUGAAGACCAAACCAUUGGUACCAAGAGAUCGGAGUGUGGUGCAUGACCAACGACAGCAACACCAGAUGGCGCAUGCUCCCAAUAUGAGAACUCUGAGUGACACAGAAUGUGAUGCUUUGUAACGUUGCUGGGGGGAGGGGUCGAAACAGCAUCAACCGGAGCUCCUAAACAAGGGCAAACCAGCCAAUUUGAAGCAAACGCCCAUCCCCAAAAAAGCCGGGUUGAAACUUCUACAAACCCGCAAUCCAGCAACUCUAAACAGGCAUAGGAGGAAGCAAAUCUACCAGAUUUGACACUGAAUCGAUACUGCAAAUAAUUUGCUUCGAAACAUGUACGCCACCAAGACCCUAACUCUCCCGUUGACCAGUCGAAGAAAGCUACGGUUUUUACACGUCCUGCCUCCGAGAACCGGAGGAAAGCCUUUCCCGGGAGUGCCUUCACGCCGGUUACAACUCUGCUCGUCCAACUAAAGCUUCUAUUCUCCAACCGCCAGUUAGGCCAUAGACGACCUUCCACAGUUGUUGGAUCCUGAGUAGCACGUGAAAAUCAGAGCCAGUUCAGUCAACACCCAUCAACUGUAUGCACUAUGUUCACGCCGUCGAGAGAAGAAUCCCUCUACGUUCAUUUGGCGGUAAUAGAGACGAUGAUGACGCAAACACCGACAUUGCACCACGGCCCCUACACGUGCCUCACACCUUUUGGAUCUGAACUUCAAGCCGUCUCAACAGGACCAGCCUCUAGAUCUGCCGGUGGGAUGACGAGACACAAAGUCACGCGCCUCCAUCUCCAGGAAAGAACCACCAAUUUGAAAGGGAAAACCAUCGGCAAGUUCCAACCAAGCCCUAAAAACGCCGACCCAUCCUGCAACCUCCUUAGUACCAGAGAGACGUCUUCCACCUGCCUAGCCGUGCUCCGCCGCGGUCAGAACUGAGUUAGGAGUCUCAGCCGCGCUCCAGGAUCAUUCGCAUAUCGUCAGGGUCAUAGAAGCUCGCAAGGAGGGCAAAUAGAAAAGAAGAGUAAAGGAGAGAGACACCUCCGACGCCGGAAGAGGUUACCGGACGCCGGCGGACUGCGAUGAAUUUUUUGUUUGUUUGUGGUGGCUGAGAGAGGGAGUCGAGAGAAACUAGGGUUUAUCAGUUUCCAGCCGCAUUUGAUCUAAUUUUUAAGAACCUAUAUAUAUAUAUAUAUAUAUAUGUUUUCAUAAGCCAAAAACCUUCUAUUUUUAUCAUCUAUCUUAGAGCACCUCCCACGGCUCUCUGCUCAGGAUCACGUCUCGUCGGCUCUUAUGGCAGAGGCCCUAGCAGUAAGAAGCGCUCUCCUCCACGCGAUUGAUCUCAACUUCAACUCCAUCUGGCUCCAAUCAAAUUCUCAAGUGUUCGUUGCAGCGUUAUCAUCAGGACGACAUCCGACUGAGCUCUACAGAGUGCUCUCGGAUAUCGCCACGAUCUCCUGUUCGUCCUUCUGUUUCUGUCGCUUCACUUUCAUCAAGAGAGAAUUUAAUGGGCUUGCGGACUCAUAUGCUAAGGUCUGCUUACAUUCUAGUCCAAGCCAUUGUAAUUCUUGAACUCUUUUUCUAAUUAAUGCAAUUUAGUUGUCCAAAAAAAAAUCUUAGACCACCUCCAGUGGGGUUCUUCCCAUUGGAGUUAUUAAUAUAUGAGUUAUAUAUAUAUGUAUAAGUAAUUGUGGAGUACACAAUUUUUGUGGAACCCCAUAGGUAAGGGUUCUUAAAAGAGGGUUUUAAGAAUUCUUAAGAACAUCAUUAUCGAGGGUUUCUUAGGAAAGAGUUCUUAGGAGAAUAUAAGAAACUGUUUCUUAUAUUUCCCUAAAAACUCCUUCUUAAGAAACCAUGGAUAAUAAUGCUCUAAAAACCUUUAUUUAUGGAAUUCCACAAUAAUUGUGGAUCCACAAUUAUUUACAGGUAUAUAAUAUAUACAUACAUAUAUAUACAUAAUAUAUAUUAAGAAUCUCAAUGGGAAGAUCUCCCAUUAAAGAUGGUCUUAACUUUUUUAGUUUUCUUAGUUUUAUAGCAGACUUUAACUUUCAGAAAAAUCUUUUGAACUCUGUGAUCGUUUUGUAUAUAAUCAUAUUUUCGUUUUUUUUUUUUUUUCAAUGCUGAGUAGAUGUGCAAUUGGUUUUUAGAGUUUCAAAGGGAACUCAUGGCUUGUUGACUUAAGAUUGUUAGAUUUAGAGAUUUAUCUAAUGGUUCUUCAUCUAUUGGUGUUCUUAAUGCUGAAAUUAGAGUCAUGAACUAGUUUAUGAACUUAGGUUAUUUAACGGAACGAAUGUGUUUAACUAAAUGCUUGAAAGAACUUUAGAUGAGCAAAGUGUCCUUAACCAACGGAAGUUAAUGUUAUUGCGCUUUGUGAACAUAUCAAACCUAAACUUAUUGCUUGUUUAGAAUCUGAAACUCAACGGAAGUUAGUGUGGAGGUUUCUAUAACAUAGAGAGUUAGCGCUAAGAAAGUAAGUUGAUUAUAUUAUCGUGUUUGAGUUCGAGACAUUUCUUAAUAUUUUCCCUUACUAGCAUAAAGAAUUAGUGCUACGGAAGUAGGUUGAUUAUAUCCAUGUCUGCUUGCUUAAAUCCCUGCGAUUUCCUCUUGCCCAAUGCUUCUCUUACAUUGUCACUUUCUGCAUAUUUACAUCAUUUUGCAUUGUUUCAUUUCUGCUUAGUUUUAUAAACCAAUACCCUUUUUCCUUUUUAGUCUUAGCCUUACUCUUAUCUCAUAUACUCGUCGUGUAACCACUGGUCUCUGUGGAUUCGAUCCUGAAGUGCUACAUCAACUACCAUUCGAUUGUGAUAGUGUGCACAUCAUGUUAAUUGGUGUGUGGUAAAAUGCAUAAAUCAAUAACCUUCUCCGACUAAUCGUUUUUAACACAGAUGGCUUCAGAUUCGACAUGCAAACAUUACUGAAAUGAAAAUGUUUUGAUAUCCAUCGAUGACAUAGAUUUGUAAAAAUAGAAAUACUUAGUCUAUAUAAUCAUAAAUAAAAGUAAGAGAAGAUUACUUGGUACAGAUCGGAGAAGGUAGGUUGUCGAUGAAUUUAGAACUCUCAAUCGUCUUUUUUAGUUUUGCAGAGAGAUUUUUGGUUUUUUUUUUCAUCGAAGCAUUUUGUUUUUACAAAAAUCAAUAUGCUCA